Molecule: small nucleolar RNA, 132 nt
Organism: Acomys russatus (golden spiny mouse)
Lineage: Eukaryota; Metazoa; Chordata; Mammalia; Rodentia; Muridae
Product: small nucleolar RNA SNORA17
Exons: 1
Source: RefSeq, a predicted model, not a curated record
CCUUACCUGAGAAACAUUGCAGAUGUAGCGUUUGUGUCAUAUGUGCACCAGAGAGUGAAAGGGAGGAGGGAGGCUAUGUCUAUGCUCAGGGUUCUGAUCUAUGGACAACUGAAUGAUUAGUAGUCUAACAUU